AGCCCCGCCCCCGCCGCCGUGCCCCGGCGCGGCGCUUAUAGCGGGCGGGCGGCGCGGCGGGAGCGCGGGCGGCGAUGGCGGCGGGCGCGGAGGGGCUGCGCGGGCUCCUGGCGCUGCUGGUGCUGGGCGUGCUGGCGGCCGGCGGCGAGGGCACAAGUCCAGACAUCCAAACAGGGUUCUCAGACUCUACUGGCAAGCUGAUCCUCAGCUGCAACCUAACUGAUCCUUACUCUGCCAUUGAGGGUCAUGAAUGGAAGCAUGGAGACAAGAUACUUCAAACAGACAUGGAGUCAAGCGCUUUCACCAGUUACAUAAUCGAGGGAAAGAAGGAAGAGCACUCUGGUAUCUAUGAAUGCAUCUACAAAACAAGCCCAGAGAUAAAAGGAGAAAUGAAUAUAUCAGUUCUGCCCCAAGUGGUGGCAUACAAGAAGUCUGAGCAUGGGAACGAGGGGGACACGGGGGUGCUGACCUGCAAGAAUCCCUCUUUUCCUCCUGUCAGUGCUUGGGUCUGGUACAGAAAUGAUCAAGAGUCCAUCGUCAAUGGAUCUGGUCGAUACAUUAUCAAGUCCAGCGGCAACAAGACAGAGUUACGCAUUCUUAAGCUGAACAUCGAGGAGGAUACGGGUGACUACCACUGCACUGCCAUCAACUCUAUUGGCAAGGGUGAAGCUACAGUGAAUCUGCGUGUACGCAGCCGUCUGGCAGCGCUCUGGCCCUUCCUGGGUAUAGUGGCAGAAGUCCUGGUCCUUGUCACCAUCAUCUUUAUCUACGAGAAGAGGAGGAAGCCAGAUGAAGUUCUCGAUGGUAAGAGGCACCUGGGGUUACAUCUUUCUGGGGAGAAAAAGGAGCUUGUAGGGUGCAGGCAAAUUGUUCUCAGAGAGCUCAGACUUUGUCAGAGGGGCACUACAGCUCAGUGGGAGGCCUGCUUCUCAGGAAUGCUUCUUGUCUAACCAUCAUAGCCUCCACCAGGUUACUUCAGUGUGGAAGUACUUGCACACUUUCUGCCAAUCCUUCAGCAAGCUGUGCUUUGGCUCCAGAGUUAGAUUCAGUGCAGGUCAGCCUGACCCUUUGUCUCAGCAGUUCCUCUGCACUUUGUUCAGCGGCCUGACGCGAGCAUCUCCAGGACAGGGUUUUCUUUGACAGUUAAAAUUCUGGAGAAAAUGAUUUGGGAACAGGUAGUAGAGCUUUUCUGAGCUGCAAAGGAAGGGAGUCUGUCAGUGGUUCCAUAACAAUAGGCUUAGCCUCAGCUUGUGAAUCUGUUUUGGGUCAUCAAAUUCACUCAUCCCAGCUCUCUUUGAGUUCCUCAAAGCCUGGUGUUAUCUUUAAUCUGUUCUGGAAGUGUGGCUCCUCCCUUUCCUUAUCGGUAGGAAUCUUCAUUGUGUUAGCCCCAGCAGCCCCUCCCUUAUCUGAUCCCGCUAACAAUGCAGUGUAAAUGCUCGAUAUCCUUCCUGCUGGCUGGGUCAGUCACCUUCGCCCUUUGCAGGGGAACAGCACAUCAGGUGGACUGGGUGGUGUGAAGGGAAGCAGAGGGACUAAAACUGAGUAUCCCUGCCUGGCUGCAGAGCUUGGGAGAUUCUACUCGAGGCGGUUUUAUAAGUAAAUGUGUUGCCCUCUGGCACGGUGCUCUUGGCUGGAAGGCAGAUGUCUACUUAAGAAUGGCUGUAGCUACAUCUUUUAGCAAAAAAAGCUGUAGCCUGUUUUUCUGAGUGUGGUUUCAGCUGGUAUCAGCUGAGUCCAGAUCCUGCUCAGCUCUGUCUGAGUUGUGGUGGAGCCUUUGACAGAUGACGACAGGUCCUGUAAUACUGGCAGGUCUCCUCUGGCGGCUCCUCAGCCAGAGAUCUUAAGCUCAGGUUCCCAAGUGCUUGUGGAUGAAAAUACAGCAUUGCACUUGAUGCUACAACAGGACAGUGUAAAGCUGCAUCUUGCUCCUCGAAAGCCUCAGGAAGGCAGUGCUGAGCCAGCUUAGAGAGCUGCUGAGCCUCGGGUGUGUGGCGGUGAGCUGGCUGCUCCCUGUUACCUGGGAUGGGAAGAGUCCAGCCUGAGUAUGGCCUGAUUUCCUUGCUGGUGUUAUCUUUCCACUCUUCCCUUCUCUGCUGCUGGGUGCCACCUCAAAUGGUAAGUGGAAGCUGGUUCCAGCCGUGUCCUCUCACCAGCUGUGUGCAGGUCUUGGUGCCCAAGGCAGCCCCGAGUUUAGAGCUCGGGUCUGACCCCUCAGCGCUGCUUGAACGGAAGCCUGGGCCAUGGAGGAGGUUAUGGGAACCCUCUUCUGGAAAGUGGCAGAUUGCGAGGAGCUGGUGAAAGGUCCCAGGGCUUGGCACUUGUUGGCAAAGGUGUUUUCUUAGCUGUGUUUCUCUGCGUAGCAAGAACGUGGCGUGCAGUGUUUGUUUUGUUUCACAAGAUGUGCAGGGAGGAAGAAGGGCUUUACGUGGAUACUGAAAGCCUCGUUCCUGCAGCCUUGACUUUGUGUUCAGAUCUGGGAGCUGUUAACAGGUGUGAGAGCAGCAAGUACUUGGGUGUGCUGUCCCACCGAGUGGAUUGUGGCUCCCAUUACAGCUCUGGGUGCUAGUGGGAGGACUGGCUGGGGACACGGGGUGUGGAUGUUAACUGAUGUUAGUGGUCAGCAGUGCUGCUUGAGGCUGCCUGGACACUUCCCUGUGUAAUUCUGCUUCUGUGGCUUCCUGGAUAGUCUCAGGUGUGCCUCGAGGUUAAUAAAGCACCAGACCUGACCUCUGCUGAUGGGGAGUAGGAGACCUGGUUGUGCCCGUGCUGUGCCAACAGAAGCAACUGCGUAACAGGAGCUUAUGUCUAAGCUUAGACAAGAAGCAGCUUAAAACUCAUGCUGGGGGUGGUAGUGUUCUAAGAAGUAGCCCCCCUGUUCCCCCCAGCCGUGGUGAAAUGGGAGCCCUGUCUGCGGUGACCUGCGGUGUCCAGAAUCCUGUCACCUCUCGGGAUGCUGGUCCCCAGAGUUACAGAGGUGGAAGAGAGGCAGGGAUUACUUUGUAUGUGUGUUUCCCUGACACUGUUUGUUCUUUCUUUUUCUGUGCUGUCCUGAACAUGAAGAUGAUGAUGGAGGUUCUGCACCUCUGUAAGUACCUUGUUUUUCUACUUAGUCCUGUUUGUACUGGCAGAUCACAUUAAUCAGGAAAUCUGCUUUGAAUAUAAAAGCGAGCUGGUGCAGGAAUACAAUGUUAGCUUCCGGGGGGACUUCCCCUUCCCAUGUUUUUUUUUUUUUUUUGUGGCCUCUAUAUGAACUGCAUACAACUUAGAAUGGUACAGAGGUCUCUGAAACUGAUUGUUUUGGCAACUAAACUCACCUUGCUGUAUCUUGAGCAUCUAUUUGGGUACGAAUCGCAUUAGUGGGUAGGGUGGGUUUUUGUGCUUUGUCUUCACUUGCCCCUUUUUUCCCUUUUCUCUUUCCAGGAAAAGUAAUGCCACAAACCACAAGGACAAGAAUGUCCGCCAGAGAAACGCUAACUAAGCAGGGGCCAGGUGAUAUGUAGCUGAAGAACUCGUCUGGACAUUUUUUUCUUUUUCUUUGGUAAAAUAGCACCGUGAAAUAUUCUAGUGUGUCCUUGCGAUUGAGUUACUUCACUUUCUAAAGGAACUUAAGUUGUAGAAACUAAAAUACACGUGAUGUUUUUUUUUUUAAAAAAAAAAAAAAGAGUUGUGGGAGGGUUUUUCUACCUGUAAGCAUAAAUCCCUUGUUUCUGGUAGUCUUGGUCACUGGCUGUCUGUCCUAGGUCUCUUCAUGUUGGUGCAGAGCGGGUGGGUGGGAGUACAACUUCUCUUCCUCUCCUCUUGAAGAGCAGCGUGCGCUGGGGGGGCUGUUCUGAAAUGCCCUCCUUGCCCCACCUCAGUGUUGGAGGCCACACAAGGAGCUGCGGAGAGCCGACCUGAGCGUGGCAGCAAAAUGCACAGUUCCUUGAGGGCUGCUCCACCAGACAUGGCUGGCCUGGGUUCCCAGCAGGGCUGUCGUGCCCUACACAUGCAGGUCAGGAGGAAACUGCUGUAGCAACCUUCUGGAGGUGACCCCAUCCCUCAGAGCAUCUUAGGAGGGCAGCUCUGGGUCUUUCCCAGUGCGUUACCUGGAGCAGGGCUGCGCCUUUCCCUUGCUUGGAAGCAGCCUGUGUCCUAUAAGCUGUUCGUGCAGGGCCCCUGGGCACUGUCUGGGGUGGCUCCUGUGGAGGUGUGAGCCGCUUGCUUCCCAGCAUGCGCUGCCCCAGUGCCCUGCUGUGGGGCAGGCGUUCCCCCCGGCUCCUCCAGGGAUGCUCUUGGUGGUCACACUCGGAAACAGACAACCAGGAGACAGUGUUACAGCUGGACACUGGCUAAACAUGAUUUGUGUUAACUUAUUUAAUGGGUUGUUAGUAUUGCUUCUCAAGUGGCUACACUGGGGUCUGGGGGCAGAGUGUGGGGUGAAUGCUAGGGGUGCGGUGUGGUGGGGGGCGGUGUGACAGCAUGUGUUCUUGUGCUUGGGCCAUCUUGGUGUUUGUGCAACAUAGGAGCCUGAGAGCAGAUGAAUGCUCAGUGGUGUCUAAUACCUUUAUUGCUGAGUAGCAUUGAGCUGUUCCAUCUGUUAACAUAAUUCACAAAUAAAGAUAAUUCCUUUCUCUCUUUUUCCA
This is an RNA transcript of Cygnus atratus (black swan), 4622 nucleotides long. It is a transcript of the gene named basigin (Ok blood group), with no coding region annotated. Lineage: Eukaryota; Metazoa; Chordata; Aves; Anseriformes; Anatidae. The record is from RefSeq and is a predicted model, not a curated record. The transcript is spliced from 6 exons.